Molecule: ribosomal RNA, 38 nt
Filed under: Micromonospora sp. CNZ297
Lineage: Bacteria; Bacillati; Actinomycetota; Actinomycetes; Micromonosporales; Micromonosporaceae
Description: partial 16S ribosomal RNA
Source: RNAcentral
UUUUGUUGGAGAGUUUGAUCCUGGCUCAGGACGAACGC